UACGUAGGGUGCGAGCGUUAAUCGGAAUUACUGGGCGUAAAGCGUGCGCAGGCGGUUCGUUAAGUCAGAUGUGAAAGCCCCGGGCUCAACCUGGGAACUGCAUUCGAAACUGGCGGGCUUGAGUAUGGCAGAGGGGGGUGGAAUUCCGCGUGUAGCAGUGAAAUGCGUAGAGAUGCGGAGGAACACCGAUGGCGAAGGCAGCCCCCUGGGCCAAUACUGACGCUCAGGCACGAAAGCGUGGGGAGCAAACAGG
RNAcentral lists this ribosomal RNA (253 nucleotides) under uncultured bacterium. Its description in RNAcentral is "partial 16S ribosomal RNA". It matches the Rfam family "Bacterial small subunit ribosomal RNA", at positions 524 to 776 of the family's 1533-position model. The record is from RNAcentral.